GAUGAACGCUGGCGGCGUGCCUAAUACAUGCAAGUCGAGCGAACAGACGAGGAGCUUGCUCCUCUGACGUUAGCGGCGGACGGGUGAGUAACACGUGGAUAACCUACCUAUAAGACUGGGAUAACUUCGGGAAACCGGAGCUGAUACCGGAUAAUAUAUUGAACCGCAUGGUUCAAUAGUGAAAGACGGUUUUGCUGUCACUUAUAGAUGGAUCCGCGCCGCAUUAGCUAGUUGGUAAGGUAACGGCUUACCAAGGCAACGAUGCGUAGCCGACCUGAGAGGGUGAUCGGCCACACUGGAACUGGGACACGGUCCAGACUCCUACGGGAGGCAGCAGUAGGGAAUCUUCCGCAAUGGGCGAAAGCCUGACGGAGCAACGCCGCGUGAGUGAUGAAGGUCUUCGGAUCGUAAAACUCUGUUAUUAGGGAAGAACAAAUGUGUAAGUAACUAUGCACGUCUUGACGGUACCUAAUCAGAAAGCCACGGCUAACUACGUG
Molecule: ribosomal RNA, 497 nt
Filed under: uncultured bacterium
Lineage: Bacteria
Description: partial 16S ribosomal RNA
Rfam family: Bacterial small subunit ribosomal RNA
Source: RNAcentral